CAGGAUUAAUGUUGUGAGGGGAGACAUUAUAGAAUCACCUUUCAGAGCAUUUAGAACGAGGCAGUUCAACCCUAAUUGCAAAUUGGAUGUGGUGUUUUUUGCGCAUGUGGUUAAGGUGAAGGAGCAGUGGACAAUGGUGGACCCACCAGGGAAUUUCUGACCUUUCUAAUGAAGGAACUUUUGAACUCGCGUUAUUUUGUGGGGCCUGUAUGGAGGAAGAACCUGGGACUGGACUCCAUAGGGGAGUCAUGAGGACUUCAGAUGUGGACAGACCAGUAUGCAAUGUCCAUAAUGUAAGACGCUUAAGACAGUGCUACAGGGAGACAGGAAGGAAAGUGCCAAACUACAUAUGACCAUAUGAGAGUUGUUUGAGAAUUUGAAAGUGCCUUGGUGGAAGAGUGAUGUAAAAUUUCACAGAUUCAUCUAUUGCAGUCCAUGAAGAUGAGAUGUAUCAAGAUGUAGUUUUAUUUUGGUCUUUCAUAUUUAC
Molecule: long non-coding RNA, 487 nt
Organism: Cyprinus carpio carpio
Lineage: Eukaryota; Metazoa; Chordata; Actinopteri; Cypriniformes; Cyprinidae
Source: Ensembl